GAUGAACGCUAGCGGCAGGCUUAAUACAUGCAAGUUGAGGGGCAGCAUGAUAUACGCGAGUAUAUUGAUGGCGACCGGCGGACGGGUGAGUAAUAGGUAGGAGACCUACCUCAUACAGGGGGAUAGCAUAGAGAAAUCUGUGGUAAUACCCCAUGAGGUUAUAUGAAUAGAGGCAUAUAAUCAAAGCAUAAGCGAUUAUGCGGUAUGAGAGGGGCCUACUGACCAUUAGCUAGUUGGUGAGGUAAGGGCUCACCAAGGCGAAGAUGGUUAGGGGUUUUGAGAGAGAGACCCCCCACAUUGGAACUGAGAGACGGUCCAGACUCCUACGGGAGGCAGCAGUAGGGAAUAUUGGGCAAUGGGCGAAAGCCUGACCCAGCCAUGCCGCGUGAAGGAAGACGGCCUUAUGGGUUGUAAACUUCUUACUACGCGAAUAGAGGUUAGUACGAGAUACUAAUAGGAAGUAGUGUAGUAAAAGCACCGGCUAACUCCGUG
RNAcentral lists this ribosomal RNA (492 nucleotides) under uncultured bacterium. RNAcentral's name for it is "bacterial SSU rRNA". It matches the Rfam family "Bacterial small subunit ribosomal RNA", at positions 28 to 507 of the family's 1533-position model. The record is from RNAcentral.